CCUACGGGUGGCAGCAGUGGGGAAUCUUGGGCAAUGGGCGCAAGCCUGACCCAGCGACGCCGCGUGGGGGAUGAAGGCCUUCGGGUCGUAAACCCCUUUUCUGGGGGAAGAAUAAGCGGGGGAGGGAAUGCCCCCGCGAUGACGGUACCCCAGGAAUAAGGGACGGCUAACUCUGUGCCAGCAGCCGCGGUAAGACAGAGGUCCCAAGCGUUAUCCGGAUUCACUGGGCGUAAAGCGCGUGUAGGCGGCCGGGUAAGUCUCCUGUGAAAGCCCUCGGCUUAACCGGGGGAGGCCAGGUGAUACUAGCCGGCUCGGGUGCAGGAGGGGGGAGUGGAACUACCGGAGUAGAGGUGAAAUUCGUAGAUAUCGGGAAGAAUACCGGUGGCGAAGGCGACCUCCUGGCCCGCAACUGACGCUCAUCCGCGAAAGCGUGGGGAGCAAACAGGAUUAGAUCCCCCUGUAGU
Molecule: ribosomal RNA, 464 nt
Filed under: uncultured bacterium
Lineage: Bacteria
Description: partial 16S ribosomal RNA
Rfam family: Bacterial small subunit ribosomal RNA
Source: RNAcentral